AAAUACUGGAGACUAUUAAAACAAAUAAAACUGUUUAUUCCACAACUUUGCACAGCUAAAAAAAAAUCUUCUAUCAUGUCUAGAAACAUGUUUCUGACAUAUGCACACCUCACCAGCAUAUCUCAGGUUAUUAUACACCUCCAACCACAGCCUCACUCAGGUUCUUUUCCAGGCCUUUGCCCCGAGUGUGUGGGGGACCAAAGGGACGUCAUGCUAUAUGGAUGGUAUUGCAAAUUCAUAUCCUUGGAUCUGAAAGUAGUCCUAGAACAUAUCCUAAGGAGAUCAUCUAUCAAGAUUAGAGAAUUUCCUUCAUGAUGUUGUUUAUCGUGGCAAAACUAGGAACAACCUGAAUACCAGUCCCUCCAAGAAGCUAUUGAAUAAUAUGGGUAUCCCUGUUCAGGAAAAAUGCAAACAAACCACUAAA
This 424-nucleotide long non-coding RNA is filed under the name Homo sapiens (human). Its description in RNAcentral is "HSALNT0225320". Lineage: Eukaryota; Metazoa; Chordata; Mammalia; Primates; Hominidae. The record is from RNAcentral.